RNAcentral lists this long non-coding RNA (1182 nucleotides) under Lonchura striata (white-rumped munia). RNAcentral describes it as "domestica (Bengalese finch) lncRNA (ENSLSDG00000005870.1)". Lineage: Eukaryota; Metazoa; Chordata; Aves; Passeriformes; Estrildidae. The record is from RNAcentral.
AUGGGAUGGGAUGGGAUGGGAUGGGAUGGGAUGGGAUGGGAUGGGAUGGGAUGGGAUGGGAUGGGAUGGGAUGGAACAGGAUAUUUCCCUGGAAGGGAUCUACAAGAGCUGCAGGAUUUAAGCAGCACCACUGCCAUCAGAGCUGGGAAGCAGCCUCCUCUCCUUUGCAAAGCAUGGGACAAUCCCAUGGAAUGCUGGAAUCAUUCAGGUUGGAAAAGCCCUCUGAGAGUCUCAAAUCCAGCCAUGCCCAGCACUGCCCUGUGCCCCCAAGUGCCACAUGCCCCCAAGUGCCACAUGCCCAGGGCUGGUAAACCCCCAGGGUGGGGGCUCAGCCCUGCCCUGGGCAGCUGCUCCAGCACUCCCAUUUUCCAUGAGAACUUCCCUGGCACAGCCUCAGCCAAUGGCUCCCAUCCUGCCCCCAAUCCCUGGGAGCAGAGCCCCAUUCCCACCCUCUCCAUCCCCCAGAGCCCCAUUCCCACCCAGAGCCCCAUUCCCACCCAGCUCCAGCCCCCCAGAGCCCCAUUCCCACCCUCUCCAUCCCCCAGGGCCCCAUUCCCACCCAGAGCCCCAUUUCCACCCUCUCCAUCCCCCAGAGCCCCAUUUCCACCCUCUCCAUCCCCCAGAGCCCCAUUCCCACCCUCUCCAGCCCAGGGCCCCUCUGGGUGCUGCUGCAGCCUCUGGCAGGGCUUUGCGAGGGCCCCAGCGAUUCCCAGCUCUGACAAUGAACCUCCCUGGCCGAGCCACGAGGGAGGGACACCCCUGGGGCAGCAGCAGCUGCAGGGAACAUCUGAGAGCACCAAACGUGGCCAGGAGGAGCUCUGGCACCAGGAAAGUGCCAAAGCAGCAGGACUGGCCCAAGCUGCUCUUCCCAGCCUUCAUCCCACAGCCUCUGUGCCCAUGCCUGUCGCUCUUGGACACGAAAUGAGCACACAGGAGCUCGGUGAGCUGAAGAGAGAAAAAGAGCAAAUUUUAUUUCUGACCUCGCAAUAUAAAGAGUUCCAAAAGUGGCAGUGGACUGGAGGAUGGGAUUGCCACCUCUCCAACCACACUGGUCAAACCAACAGCCCAUCAAUUCUCCUCUCACAGACAAGAAUGCAAAACAAUCAUUAUUUACAUCAACAGUGCCUGAGAACUUCAGUAGAAAUCUGUAACCAUCAGCAGAAGGCUGAAGGAGUUUUAUGA